UACAGAGGUGGCAAGCGUUGUUCGGAAUUACUGGGCGUAAAGGGCGCGUAGGCGGCCAUCUAAGUCAGACGUGAAAUCCCCCGGCUUAACCUGGGAACUGCGUCUGAUACUGGACGGCUUGAGUAUGGGAGAGGGAUGUAGAAUUCCAGGUGUAGCGGUGAAAUGCGUAGAUAUCUGGAGGAACACCGGUGGCGAAGGCGGCAUCCUGGACCGAGAUUGACGCUGAGGCGCGAAAGCCAGGGGAGCAAACGGG
RNAcentral lists this ribosomal RNA (253 nucleotides) under uncultured bacterium. Its description in RNAcentral is "partial 16S ribosomal RNA". It matches the Rfam family "Bacterial small subunit ribosomal RNA", at positions 524 to 776 of the family's 1533-position model. The record is from RNAcentral.